RNAcentral lists this ribosomal RNA (490 nucleotides) under uncultured bacterium. RNAcentral's name for it is "partial 16S ribosomal RNA". It matches the Rfam family "Bacterial small subunit ribosomal RNA", at positions 28 to 507 of the family's 1533-position model. The record is from RNAcentral.
GAUGAACGCUAGCGAUAGGCUUAACACAUGCAAGUCGAGGGGCAGCAUGGUCUUAGCUUGCUAAGACUGAUGGCGACCGGCGCACGGGUGCGUAACGCAUAUGCAACUUGCCUCACAGAGGGGGAUAACCCGUCGAAAGACGGACUAAUACCGCGUACACUCCAUCUUGGGCAUCCAAGGUAGAGGAAAUGAAAUUCGCUGUGAGAUAGGCAUGCGUCCCAUUAGCUAGUUGGUGAGGUAACGGCUCACCAAGGCGACGAUGGGUAGGGGAACUGAGAGGGUGAACCCCCACACUGGUACUGAGACACGGACCAGACUACUACGGGAGGCAGCAGUGAGGGAGAGUGGUCAAUGGGCGAGAGCCUGAACCAGCCAAGUCGCGUGAAGGAUGACUGUCUUAUGGAUUGUAAACUUCUUUUAUACGGGAAUAACAAGAGUCACGUGUGACUCCCUGCAUGUACCGUAUGAAUAAGCAUCGGCUAACUCCGUG